GACGAACGCUGGCGGCGUGCCUAAUACAUGCAAGUAGAACGCUGAAGGAGGAGCUUGCUUCUCUGGAUGAGUUGCGCACGGGUGAGUAACGCGUAGGUAACCUGCCUGGUAGCGGGGGAUAACUAUUGGAAACGAUAGCUAAUACCGCAUAAUAUUAGAUGUUGCAUGACAUUUGCUUAAAAGGUGCAAUUGCAUCACUACCAGAUGGACCUGCGUUGUAUUAGCUAGUUGGUGGGGUAACGGCUCACCAAGGCGACGAUACAUAGCCGACCUGAGAGGGUGAUCGGCCACACUGGAACUGAGACACGGCCCAGACUCCUACGGGAGGCAGCAGUAGGGAAUCUUCGGCAAUGGACGGAAGUCUGACCGAGCAACGCCGCGUGAGUGAAGAAGGUUUUCGGAUCGUAAAGCUCUGUUGUAAGAGAAGAACGAGUGUGAGAGUGGAAAGUUCACACUGUGACGGAAUCUUACCAGAAAGGGACGGCUAACUACGU
Molecule: ribosomal RNA, 494 nt
Filed under: uncultured bacterium
Lineage: Bacteria
Description: partial 16S ribosomal RNA
Rfam family: Bacterial small subunit ribosomal RNA
Source: RNAcentral